AAUUAAUCCCUUAUGACAUUAAUGAUGCAAUUAGAACAUACACUAGCUUUUCCUGUGAAGGGGACGGAAACCGGUAGCGAUGGUUGCUAUCUUCACUAGUGUCAGUCUGGACUCUCUGAUGCUGCUGUGAUGGGCACAACAAAAGAGUCACGACUCGUAAAGCACCGCUCGUGCAGGAGUGUCUUUCACUGUGUACAGUUGUCUUCGAAUGUUGACCUUGGUACGGAGCUCCCUAGCGACCGAGUAGUGAAGGAAUACAUGUAUACGAGAUCAAACCUGCACUCGGGCCUUACCUGGCAGCAGCGGUCUGAUGUCUGACUUUCUGAAGAGUCUUUGCUCCAACCACACUUGUCAAACACUGCUGCUGAAAUUAACGAGGAAAAGGGUUGCAGGUGGGUUGGAACAUAUCCCAGUGCCUCAGACCACAGGAAAGGGGCUCCCUUAAUGGAUGGCCAAUAUUAAGCAAGACUAAAGGGGUGGAAAAAUUUGAGGGGCAGUGACAACAAAAUGGAUGACAAAAUGACAAAUUGCACUUAUGAUCAAUCUCAGAACCGGAAGUGGAGCAUGGUCUGGUGGAUAGGCUAAUGGAGUGGAGACCUGAAGCUUCACCACUGGCUGCUUGGCAUCCACAGUUGUGCCCUUGAGCGAGGCACUUAACCCAAAUUGCUUCAGUAAACACUCCGUCUUAGAAAUGACAGUGUAUGCAAACUGGCCCAUCAGCUUUCUUCACACAG
Carassius auratus (goldfish) is the source of this 734-nucleotide long non-coding RNA. RefSeq lists it as uncharacterized. Lineage: Eukaryota; Metazoa; Chordata; Actinopteri; Cypriniformes; Cyprinidae. The record is from RefSeq and is a predicted model, not a curated record. The transcript has 3 exons.